Molecule: ribosomal RNA, 492 nt
Filed under: uncultured bacterium
Lineage: Bacteria
Description: partial 16S ribosomal RNA
Rfam family: Bacterial small subunit ribosomal RNA
Source: RNAcentral
AGUGAACGCUGGCGGUAGGCCUAACACAUGCAAGUCGAACGGCAGCACAGUAAGAGCUUGCUCUUACGGGUGGCGAGUGGCGGACGGGUGAGGCAUACAUCGGAAUCUACUUUUUCGUGGGGGAUAACGUAGGGAAACUUACGCUAAUACCUCAUACGACCUACGGGUGAAAGCAGGGGAUCUUCGGACCUUGCGCUCUUGAAUAAGCCGAUGUCGGAUUAGCUAGUUGGCGGGGUAAAGGCCCACCAAGGCGACGAUCCGUAGCUGGUCUGAGAGGAUGAUCGGCCACACUGGAACUGAGACACGGUCAAGACUCCUACGGGAGGCAGCAGUGGGGAAUAUUGGAAAAUGGGGGCAAGCCUGAUCCAGACAUACCGCGUGGGUGAAGAAGGCCUUCGGGUUGUAAAGCCCUUUUGUUGGGAAAGAAAAGCAGCAGGUUAAUACCCCGCUGUUCUGACGGUACCCAAAGAAUAAGCACCGGCUAACUUCGUG